AUUGAACGCUGGCGGCAGGCCUAACACAUGCAAGUCGAGCGGAUGAAGGGAGCUUACUCCUGGAUUCAGCGGCGGACGGGUGAGUAAUGCCUAGGAAUCUGCCUGGUAGUGGGGGAUAACGUCCGGAAACGGGCGCUAAUACCGCAUACGUCCUGAGGGAGAAAGUGGGGGAUCUUCGGACCUCACGCUAUCAGAUGAGCCUAGGUCGGAUUAGCUAGUUGGUGGGGUAAAGGCCUACCAAGGCGACGAUCCGUAACUGGUCUGAGAGGAUGAUCAGCCACACUGGAACUGAGACACGGUCCAGACUCCUACGGGAGGCAGCAGUGGGGAAUAUUGGACAAUGGGCGAAAGCCUGAUCCAGCCAUGCCGCGUGUGUGAAGAAGGUCUUCGGAUUGUAAAGCACUUUAAGUUGGGAGGAAGGGCAGUAAGUUAAUACCUUGCUGUUUUGACGUUACCAACAGAAUAAGCACCGGCUAACUUCGUG
RNAcentral lists this ribosomal RNA (484 nucleotides) under uncultured bacterium. RNAcentral describes it as "partial 16S ribosomal RNA". It matches the Rfam family "Bacterial small subunit ribosomal RNA", at positions 30 to 507 of the family's 1533-position model. The record is from RNAcentral.